UCGGGAAUAACCAUCAUUUGGAGAGAAACCAAUGUAUAGUUAGAGAAUGACCACCACAAAGAUCCAAUGGGGAAGACUUAACAAGGAAAGACUUCACUAGGGAAAUAAAAUAGUCAAAGGGGUAAAAUCCAAAUCCACUAGUGGAGGAAUAUUAUCCAACUAUCAGCCAAGUGGUAGCUUAACAAAGGUAAUAAGCUCUAACAAAAUGAUUACUAACUACCAGCCAAGUGGUAACUUAACAAAGGCAACCAAUCAAAUGUAAGAGGAACUAUUACCUAUUAUCAACCAAGUGAUAUCUUAACAAAGGUAAUGAGAUCAAACAAA
RNAcentral lists this long non-coding RNA (324 nucleotides) under Lathyrus oleraceus (garden pea). RNAcentral's name for it is "Pisum sativum (pea) long non-coding RNA (PSAT_LNC031216)". The record is from RNAcentral. Lineage: Eukaryota; Viridiplantae; Streptophyta; Magnoliopsida; Fabales; Fabaceae.